RNAcentral lists this ribosomal RNA (253 nucleotides) under uncultured bacterium. RNAcentral describes it as "partial 16S ribosomal RNA". It matches the Rfam family "Bacterial small subunit ribosomal RNA", at positions 524 to 776 of the family's 1533-position model. The record is from RNAcentral.
UACGUAGGGGGCAAGCGUUGUCCGGAAUCAUUGGGCGUAAAGCGCGUGUAGGCGGGUCGGUAAGUUCGCUCUGAAAGCCCGGGGCUCAACCCCGGGAGGCGGGUGGAUACUGUCGACCUCGAGUCCGGAAGAGGCGAGUGGAAUUCCUGGUGUAGCGGUGAAAUGCGCAGAUAUCAGGAGGAACACCAAUUGCGAAGGCAGCUCGCUGGGACGUAACUGACGCUGAGACGCGAAAGCGUGGGGAGCAAACAGG